Molecule: ribosomal RNA, 216 nt
Filed under: uncultured fungus
Lineage: Eukaryota; Fungi
Description: partial small subunit ribosomal RNA
Rfam family: Eukaryotic small subunit ribosomal RNA (bases 92-216)
Source: RNAcentral
GACCUGGUCGGGUGGUCCGCCUAACGGUGUGUACUGCUUGACUGGGCCUUACCUCUUGGUGAGCCGGCGUGCCCUUUAUUGGUGUGCGCCGGGGAACCAGGACUUUUACCUUGAGAAAAUUAGAGUGUUCAAAGCAGGCUAUUGCCUGAAUACAUUAGCAUGGAAUAAUAAAAUAGGACGUGCGGUUCUAUUUUGUUGGUUUCUAGAGUCGCCGUA